RNAcentral lists this long non-coding RNA (441 nucleotides) under Ananas comosus (pineapple). RNAcentral describes it as "long non-coding RNA (ACOM_LNC023368)". The record is from RNAcentral. Lineage: Eukaryota; Viridiplantae; Streptophyta; Magnoliopsida; Poales; Bromeliaceae.
AUAUCUAUUGAAUGGCAAUAUGUGUUUUGGAUCAUAUGUUAAAGAAUUGGGUUGUUGUUUCUUGAGAAUUAUUUUUUGAUGAGAAAUGUAAUAUUUAUGAUAAUAUGUUUGUUAAUAAUUUUUUAAUUUUUUGUUCAUAAAUGUAGAUCAAUAUAAAUAUUAAUAUAAUUUUUUAUCAUAUCUGUAGAAUAGAGGCGGUUGAAACCGCCUCUACCAUUGAUGCUGCAUAAUAAUAUUUGUAGAGGCGGUUUAGAACGCCUCUAUAGAUUAAAAUUUAUAGCGGCGAUUUAAACCGCUUCUAAAAAUAAAUAUUUGUAGAGGCAGUUUAAACCGCCUCUAAAUGAUAAAAUUUGUUUAAUAAACUGUGAAUAAAAAAUAUUAAAUUAAAAUAUUGCGGCGGUUGAAACCGCCUCUAUAUAUGUAAGGAAGUGAAUUCUCGAA